Molecule: long non-coding RNA, 460 nt
Organism: Dermacentor albipictus
Lineage: Eukaryota; Metazoa; Arthropoda; Arachnida; Ixodida; Ixodidae
Source: RefSeq, a predicted model, not a curated record
AGCAAUAUGGAAACUCAGGUCGAACGAGCGAUUAAAACUCCAAUGUAAGGUUGAUGCGAAGCUCGAUGAAACGGACACUUUUGUUUUGUAUAGAAGAUAUUUUUACCUUAAGGGCACCAGGAUAAAUGUGACCAUCAAUGGAACAUUUGCAUCACUGGACACCCAGAGGAGCAUGUCCGGCAAAUAUGACACGAUUUUGCUCGCUUAUCCAGGUCAACCGGAGUUUGGGUAUGAGCACCUUUUGUUUCAAGCGGCGGACAGCAGCUGUGGCGUUUUUUUGGUAGCCCUGAACGAAGCUUAUAUGUGGCUCGAAAUACGAGUGAGGAAUUCUACUGUAGACAAGCCAGACAAACUUGCGUAGAAAGGUUCCGACACUCCUUGCCGAAACUGAAGGGCAAGCGAAGACUAGUAUACAAGCAAGACUGUCAGCGAAUCCUUCCCCAAAUAAAUGAAUGACGUA